CCUACGGGUGGCUGCAGUGGGGAAUUUUGGACAAUGGGCGCAAGCCUGAUCCAGCCAUUCCGCGUGAGUGAAGAAGGCCUUCGGGUUGUAAAGCUCUUUCGCAAGGGAAGUAAACUUAUCCUCUAACAUAGGAUGAGGUUGACGGUACCUUGAUAAGAAGCACCGGCUAACUACGUGCCAGCAGCCGCGGUAAUACGUAGGGUGCUACUGUUAGUCGAGAGUACGCGGCGUAAAUUGUAAGUCGGAUGUUAAAUCCCCGAGCUCAACUUGGGAACUGCGUUUGAAACUACAAGACUAGAAUAGGUCAGAGGGGGGUAGAAUUCCACGUGUAGCAGUGAAAUGCGUAGAGAUGUGGAGGAAUAUCAAUGGCGAAGGCAGCCCCCUGGGAUCAUAUUGACGCUCAUGCACGAAAGCGUGGGGAGCAAACAGGAUUAGAUACCCGGGUAGUC
Molecule: ribosomal RNA, 449 nt
Filed under: uncultured bacterium
Lineage: Bacteria
Description: partial 16S ribosomal RNA
Rfam family: Bacterial small subunit ribosomal RNA
Source: RNAcentral